UACGUAGGGUGCAAGCGUUGUCCGGAAUUAUUGGGCGUAAAGAGCGUGUAGGCGGCCCGAUUAGUCCGCUGUGAAAGUCCAGGGCUCAACCCUGGAAUGCCGGUGGAUACUAUCGGGCUAGAGUCCGGAAGGGGCGAGUGGAAUUCCUGGUGUAGCGGUGAAAUGCGCAGAUAUCAGGAGGAACACCAAUGGCGAAGGCAGCUCGCUGGGACGUGACUGACGCUGAGACGCGAAAGCGUGGGGAGCAAACAGG
RNAcentral lists this ribosomal RNA (253 nucleotides) under uncultured bacterium. RNAcentral describes it as "partial 16S ribosomal RNA". It matches the Rfam family "Bacterial small subunit ribosomal RNA", at positions 524 to 776 of the family's 1533-position model. The record is from RNAcentral.